Molecule: long non-coding RNA, 3191 nt
Organism: Bos taurus (domestic cattle)
Lineage: Eukaryota; Metazoa; Chordata; Mammalia; Artiodactyla; Bovidae
Source: Ensembl
GAUCCUAAUGCUUGUUCAUGCCUGGUUAUCUGUAGAGUAAGGAUGAAAACUCUCAUUGGAAGCAUAAUGCUGGAAUACUUGGAUAGGCAGCGUAAUUUUAAACCACUAAAUUUGUGGUAAUCUGUUAUAGCAGCAAUAGGAAACCAAUACAGACACCGUUCAAAAGAUGAUUGUAAAGCUGUCACACUGUGGGCUUUGAAAGCAAAUUUGCUGCCUUUUCUUCCUCUGUUAUGAUAUCAUACGCUUGUUUCCACUAGCAGUAAUGCACACUGGGGUUGCCAUUGUUAAUCUUGAAAUUGUACUUUGCCAGUUAAAGACAUGAGACCUUUGGCCUCUUCUUCAUUCCUAGGGUGUCCAGUGGGUGGCCUGUGAUGUCUCCCUGCUAACGCUAGACGAUAUUUCAUCCUAUCUAACAAGCACUCUGCUCAGAUGGUCGUCUGUGCAAGUGCCACAAGGAAAGCUCCCAUGGGACCCAGAAAAGUAUUCAUUUUCCAAAGAGAAUUAAAACCCACAUUGAUAGCAUAUAAAACAAGAAUGCUUUAAAAUGUGAAGAGUGAUGAGGUUAUUUCACCCUUAAGUUAUAUUUCUAGGAAAAAGCAGAAUUUAAAUCUUAAGAGAUCUGUGUGCCCAAUUGACACUUCAAAGAAAGAGAAACCCAGCUAAUGAAAUGUAACCUAACAUCCUUCCCCAGCUUCUGUAUUCCCCAGAUUGCUACCCUUUUCCAAUUAACUUUUCCAUUCUUCUGCUAAUUAUCUGAUCUAGAAGCUUUGGAGUGAUAUUUUUCCUCCCUCUGAUUCAGCCCUUAGAAGACAUUCUCCUCUCAUCUUCGUUUUCUUUGGGGACCCUGUUUCUCAGCAUUAAUACGCAUGCGCCUAACACAGCUCUGUAUGCAGCAGCUGGCUCACAGGUUGGAGCAUGGAUUCGUUCUAUCCAGUCUGCAUCUCUUUCUGCCUGCACUUCCACACCACUCACUCCACACUCUACACAGCUCCCUGUUGCUUCCACCUGAAGUGUAAAUCCUUCUACUUAGUUUUCAAGGCCUAACUAUCCAGCUUUGCUCCCCAUGCCUCUCCACAUUCCUUCCUUCUUUCAGACGGCCAGGCAAUUUCCAUGGAUUCAUAAAAUUCAGUUUCCUCUUUUCUUGGUAACUCAGAAGAAAGGAACAGAACUGAAUCAGACGUUGACCCCUUUGACAAAUAUAUAGCUUUGUGGGGAUGGGGUAUGGGGAGACAAAUACAAAAGCUAGUUGGGGUUUUAGGUACUAUUGCAAAUGAGUUCUGUGAGCACGCCAAGAGGGGCUAAAAGAUCUUCAGGUGAGGGCACGGUAGGAAAGGCUUUGAUGAGUAGGAGAUAAUAGGAAAAUGAGUUGUCAUUUUGAGUACAGACUUUUCUUUCUUUUUUUUUUUUUUUCAUUUUGCAACGUGGCAUGUGGGAUCUUAGUUCCAAACCAGGGAUUGAACCUGUGCCCCCCUGUAAUGGAAGUGUAGAGUCUUCACCACUGAACCACUGGGGAAGUCUGAGAGCUAUUAUCUAGAACAUUAUGUGAUGUAGAUUCUAUUAAUUUUCAUGCAAAUAACGUGAUAAUGUUACCUACCCUUUCAAGUCAGACCCUAAUAAAGAUCUUCCUGCCCUGUGUCACUUGCACCAAUAGAAUGAGACAGAGUUCAGUUCAGAAGCAAAAGAAUGUUUUGUUUUUUGGUCAGAGAAUGAAGAGGUAUGGACUCACACUCAAGAGCACACACACUCUCCCCUCCAGGACAGGUUGUGGUUGGUGCUGCUUCUUAGAGUUCCCCUUCUGGGGAAGGAGGGUAGAGUUCUCGCAAAACGGACAGGCUGAAAGCAGUAUCUCCAAACCCCUGCCAUCUUGAAUCACAACAUCUUGUGAGAAGCUUCUGCACACGGUCCCCAAGCUGAGGUGUCGAGUGGUGCUGUUUGAUGCCAGGAACUAUGGUCUGAAGGGUUUUGUGCGAGGCCUCUGCGCGCAGUAUCCUGUGAGCAAGUGAAACUUGGUGUUAUACCUUAUCACCUGGAUUCCGUCUUAUUUUUCCUGGAGGCCUCAGGGGGCUUCGCCUGUGACACGAGUGAUAGCAGCACCUCUUCUGAGGAUUAAAUGAACAUUAAGAGGAAAGUAAACUGCCUGUUCUGAGGAAGGCACUCAAUAUGUGUAAGUUUCCUUUCUUCCUGAGGGGUAAUGGAUGUUCCAAUACUGUUAAAUUGCAUCUCAUUCUGAAAACUCUAACACACGAAGGAGUUCUAAGACAUAUACACCUUAAUCUUGAUUACUUGUUCCUCUCUUCCAGCUGAUUUGUAAGUGAAAAUGAAUAUGAAAAGAGUAAAAAGAGACCAAGAUUUUAGGUAAAGGAGAAGGAUGUCAUGGGGGGAAAAAGAAGUUUCUAGAACCAGGAUCAGAUGAGGCUCUACAGACAAACAUUCUGCUCCAUAGUUUUGCUAAGGCCUCAUUAAGUGAAGACAAAACUGUGAUUUCAUGGCGAAGAGGGAAUAGAGAGCUCAAAGCUUUCUGUGUAGCCUACCUGCCAGCUCCUGCAGCUUUAGAGAGCUGUAAUUGGCCUCAGACCAGACGUUUUCAGGGUCGAUAGCACUUGACAGGGCAAUCUUUUUUAAACCAGGAGAAAGGAAAGCCUAGAACAGGCUUUCAACCUAAGUUCUCAAACCUUGGUAUAUAUCCAACUCACCUGGAGGGCUUGUUAAAACAGUUUCCUGAGCUCCUCCUUUGCAGUUUCUGAUUCUGUGGAUUGGAGCAGAUUGGAGGCAGCAGGAUUGGGGGACGUGCAGUGAAAAUUUGCAUUUUAACAAGUUCCAGGUGAUGCUGAUGCUGCUGGUCUGAACUCCACUUUCAGAAUUAUUGGCUAUAUAUUAGAAUCCCCUGUAGACCUUUAAAAAACACUGACGCCCAUCCACACCCAAGCCAGUAAUCCAAAUUUCUGAGAAUGUGAUCUGGAGACCAGGGUUUUAAAACUUCCAGGUGAUUCCAGCUUGGGAGCCAUUGGCUUGGGAUCUUUGAAAGCCAAGCUUUGUCCUACUUGAUAAGCCCUAAGGGUUGAGCAGAGGAAGCAUCCUGACAUCUGCUUUUCCUAAUAGAAGAGAAAAUGUUUAUGAUUCUUAGAGGAAAAGCAUUUAGCUGUUCUAGACUUUAAGACAAAAUAAACUGUGGAUAUCUCAAAGAUAAUAGC